GUAACAAGGUCUCCGUUGGUGAACCAGCGGAGGGAUCAUUACCGAGUUUACAACUCCCAAACCCAAUGUGAACCAUACCAAACUGUUGCCUCGGCGGGGUCACGCCCCGGGUGCGUCGCAGCCCCGGAACCAGGCGCCCGCCGGAGGGACCAACCAAACUCUUUCUGUAGUCCCCUCGCGGACGUUAUUUUUACAGCUCUGAGCAAAAAUUCAAAAUGAAUCAAAACUUUCAACAACGGAUCUCUUGGUUCUGGCAUCGAUGAAGAACGCAGCGAAAUGCGAUAAGUAAUGUGAAUUGCAGAAUUCAGUGAAUCAUCGAAUCUUUGAACGCACAUUGCGCCCGCCAGUAUUCUGGCGGGCAUGCCUGUCCGAGCGUCAUUUCAACCCUCGAACCCCUCCGGGGGGUCGGCGUUGGGGAUCGGGAACCCCUAAGACGGGAUCCCGGCCCCGAAAUACAGUGGCGGUCUCGCCGCAGCCUCUCCUGCGCAGUAGUUUGCACAACUCGCACCGGGAGCGCGGCGCGUCCACGUCCGUAAAACACCCAACUUCUGAAAUGUUGACCUCGGAUCAGGUAGGAAUACCCGCUGAACUUA
Molecule: ribosomal RNA, 593 nt
Filed under: Trichoderma koningiopsis
Lineage: Eukaryota; Fungi; Ascomycota; Sordariomycetes; Hypocreales; Hypocreaceae
Description: eukaryotic LSU rRNA
Rfam family: 5.8S ribosomal RNA (bases 225-378)
Source: RNAcentral